CCUACGGGAGGCAGCAGUGGGGAAUAUUGGACAAUGGGCGAAAGCCUGAUCCAGCAAUGCCGCGUGAGUGAUGAAGGCCUUAGGGUUGUAAAGCUCUUUUACCAGGGAUGAUAAUGACAGUACCUGGAGAAUAAGCUCCGGCUAACUCCGUGCCAGCAGCCGCGGUAAUACGGAGGGAGCUAGCGUUGUUCGGAAUUACUGGGCGUAAAGAGUACGUAGGCGGUUAUUCAAGUCAGAGGUGAAAGCCCGGGGCUCAACCCCGGAACUGCCUUUGAAACUAGAUAGCUAGAAUCUUGGAGAGGUCAGUGGAAUUCCGAGUGUAGAGGUGAAAUUCGUAGAUAUUCGGAAGAACACCAGUGGCGAAGGCGACUGACUGGACAAGUAUUGACGCUGAGGUACGAAAGCGUGGGGAGCAAACAGGAUUAGAUACCCUGGUAGUCCACGCCGUAAACGAUGAUAACUAGUUGUUCGGGCACUUGGUGCCUGAGUGACGCAGCUAACGCAUUAAGUUAUCCGCCUGGGGAGUACGGUCGCAAAGAUUAAAAACCUCAAAAUGGAAAUUUGACGGCNGAGAGAGCGACGACGACACGAGGAGGAGG
This 599-nucleotide ribosomal RNA is filed under the name uncultured bacterium. RNAcentral describes it as "bacterial SSU rRNA". It matches the Rfam family "Bacterial small subunit ribosomal RNA", at positions 338 to 950 of the family's 1533-position model. The record is from RNAcentral.